GUCUGUUUGUGGCUUCUUUCUUCUGUGGAGCUCAAAGCACUUUCUCCUCUUAUCUUAUCUCUCUCCCCGCCUUCCCAGGGAAGUGGUCUUGUCACUCCCACUUCUCAGGGGCUGUGCGCUGUGACUCAUUGUGGCUCUGGAGUGUACUCCGUUGUCCCCCGGCCUGGGUGGGACCCACCUCCCUCCCUUCUCCCUGAGCUCAGCCUGAAGAACCCUCACUUCCUGGGUGCCCAGGAAGGCCUGGCCACGAAGGGCACUCUGAGCAGCAGGUGACUGGAGCCAAGCUGGGUUUCCACACCUGCUGUCCUGCAGAGGGGCUGAAGCAGUGACUCCACCAGCCCUUUCUGUGGCCACAAAGGGGGAUGAGGUCAGUGGAGUCACCGACACCAGCUGGAACUGAGAACCAAGAAGGGCAGGGGCUCCAGGAAUUGUGAAGAAAACUUUCCAGAAAGCACUUGGCGGAGAAACUGAGUCCCAGAGCAGGAAUGCGAAUGAACCCUCCAAUAUGACACCAGCGACUGACUGACCCUGGGGAAACCCUGGGCUGCCUGCCAUGUGGCCACACAUCUGCAUCUCUGGCUAUCUUCUUGUUUGGUGCUCAGGGCACAGCACUGGGCACAGGACUGCUCAGCUUUGACUGAGAAUAGCCAUUAAUAAUGUGUUAAAUGUCUACAGAGUACUGGCGGUGUCACACUGAAUCCUCCUAACAACUCUAGAUACACAUACUAUCUCAUUUUUAUGUGAGGACUCGGAGUCUCAAGAAGACCAGGAAACCUUUCCUGAGGUCUCUGGGCCCUGUAGCAGAGUUGAAUAGGGGUCCCCACAUUCUUAGCCCUCUGGCUGUGCUGUGGGCCUGUUACAAAAGCUGGGUGGGAGUUCUGGAAGCCAGACUUCCGGGUGGCCAGCCAAUGUUCACUUGGGUGAAGAGGGGUUUAGGAAAGGGUUCAGGUUCUUGAGUAUCCCAUGAGCCUCUGGACAGAGUGGGGACCUGACCUGAUUCUCCUGCCUGGGCUGCCCAUUCCUCACCCUCUCAGACAUUCCUCCAUGUAGACAAAAUGGGGUUACUUGGAGAGGAGGGCUAGGGCACGGUCAGGGCUCUCCUGCAGGCCCCGGCACUCUGCCGUGGCCCACCGCAGGGGUUUCUCCACCCCGGGCUAAAUGCACCACGAUGGCUCUUCCUUGCUGAGGCUUCCUUCCUUCUCCCUUUCUUUGUUGACAGUCUGAGUGCUCCCUGAGCCCGGGGCCCCUUGUGCCAUUUAUCUCCAAAUCCCUGUAACCUGGGAUGGGGUUAAUUCUAGCUGGGCACCCAGAGAAUGAAUGCACCCCAAAGGGGCCAUUUCUUUUUCCUGGCAUCAGACUGCUGGGAUUUGUGGCUUGGCUUCACACCUAUUGCGUGCGUGACGUGGACAAAUUAUUUGACUGCUGUGGCUCUCAGUUCUGCACCUAAAGCAGAGACAGGACUCAUGCUUGUUUCAUUUUCUAUUAUUAGAAUUCAUAUGUUACCCACUGAGUCCUGUACUGUGUCUGACAUGGCAGCCCCUAGUCACACGUAGCUACUU
Long non-coding RNA from Cavia porcellus (domestic guinea pig), 1559 nucleotides. RefSeq lists it as uncharacterized. Lineage: Eukaryota; Metazoa; Chordata; Mammalia; Rodentia; Caviidae. The transcript is spliced from 3 exons. The record is from RefSeq and is a predicted model, not a curated record.